CUGGUUGAUCCUGCCAAUUUUGGUACUCUCAAUUUGGAGCUUAAGCCAUGCAUACUACUGACUGCGUACCCGGCAACGGGUAGAGCUAUCAGCGUGCACGGCUCAUUAUAUCGAUGGGAUGAAGGAGCAGUGCUACGCUCUCAGGUGAUAACCACGGAAACACUGUGGCUAAUACCGUUCAUGCCCACUCUUCGGAGUGUAGACCCCGCCGGACUGCGUUCUCCCGUGGCCACCACCGUGUGGCCCGGGGGGGAAGGGAGCUCCGCCGGAGGGGAACACAAAGUAUUAAUCGGUCGAACCUCUGCCAGCCGGUUCGCCUUAUCAUUGUCUGGUAACUUGAACUCUACUAGUCACGGCUAUAACGGGUAACGGAGGGU
Molecule: ribosomal RNA, 377 nt
Filed under: uncultured eukaryote
Lineage: Eukaryota
Description: partial 18S ribosomal RNA
Rfam family: Eukaryotic small subunit ribosomal RNA
Source: RNAcentral